GAUAUUGUAUAGUUCUACCAAAUAUGCACAUGUAUACAAUAUAUAUAAAAAAUAUAUAGAAAGUGUAUAAAAAUUAUAUAAUUGUUGUAUAAAAUGUAUAAAAAAAAAUGUAUAGUUAUUGUUUAAAUUGUGUAUCGGAACUAUAUAAUUUUCGUAUAAAAUAUUUAUAUGUAUAAGAUAUGUAUAGAAACUGUAUAGAAGGUGUAUAGAAACUGCAUAGAACAAGCCAACAAAUUGAAAUGGCUAGAAAGUAAAAUUUAAAUUUCAUGACCAUUUUCGUGAAAUUUGUUUGAUCUGAGGUGUCAUUUCUAUUAUUUCCCCUUGUUCAUAUUCUUCACAAAAACUACAAAAACUACAAAACAAUUUUGUAAUGUUCUCCAAAUGUUCACCUAAGGCACAUCAAACCCUCCAGGAUAUCAAUUAAAUUAAGCACACCUAGUAAUUGAUGUUGUGCCUUGGAAAAUUGGUAAGUGAAGUUCCAGAGAGAUGCACUUCCAUUUUGGGGCAACCCGAACUCGGAUCAGAAGCAAAAAACUGAAUGAAACUUGAGAUAAUAAGUAAUACACAACAUAGUUUAAGAGUAAAUUUCAUGGAUGAUCAUUCAAUUUUGUGUUUAUUACUCAAAAGUUAUUAUUUUUUGUUUUGUUACACAAAAGUCAUUUAAUUUUAUCUUAUCUUUCACAAAAGUCACUUUAACAAAAUUAAAUUAAAAUGUGUGAUAAAUAAAUAAAAAAAGAUCCCUUGUGUUUUAAGGUAAGUUCAAAAUGGCCUCUCAAAUAUUUUUGAGUAAUUUUGAUAUUUUAAGCUUGCUAAAUGUGAGUAUAUUUGAUCUUCAUAAAAUAUUUAACAAAUUCUGAUUGUUAAAUUUUACAAAACUUUGAAAAAAAAAAAAAUUAAUACUGAAUCACAUUUAGAGAAGUAUUCUUUCUAAUUUUCAUUUUUUUUUAAAAUUUAUUGGAGGAUUUAGUGUUUCUUUCUAGGUUAAUUUAUUUAUUUAUAGAAUAAUUUCAUAAAUCCCUUCACAAGUUUCGUUUCAUAACGUUGAUCUCUUAUGUUACAUAUGAUAUCAGGCGUUCUUUGAUUAUUUAAAUUUCUUUAUAACAACUCCUUCUAUGUAUUUGACACUAAUACAAAAAUGCAUACUUGGAAUUAAUUUUUUUAUGAAAUAAUUGAAAUAUUAAGGAGUAAAACACUGGUAUAAAUUUAGAAUUUUCAUCAUAACUCUAUUUUCAACUAAUUUCAACAAAUCUUUCGACUUCCUUCCUAGCCCCUUAAAAGAAUCUAUCAUUCAAAAAUUUUAAACUUUUAUAUUUCAUAAUAAGUAACAUUAUUUUAUUUUUUAAAUUUCUUUUAGUAACCCUACUUGUUACAAACAUUGCAGUUCACUCCGCAUAUUUAAUAUAUUGAUAAUAAUAUUCGUAGAAACUAUUAUAAAAUAAUUUAACAAUUAUAUUUAUUUACUUAAUAAUCUACUAAAAAUAUGUAAUAAAAGUAAAGAAAAGAUGUCUAUAAAUUAAUCAAAAUAAUAAUGUAAUAGUAAAAUAAAAAUAUAAUUAUUGUACAUUAUUUUAAGAUUUUUUGGUUUUACUUUUUUUUUUUUUAAUUUCGUUAAAUUUGGUCAGUAAACUUUGUCAAAUAUAUGUAAAUAAAAGACUCAUUUUUAGAAAUAUAGUGGAUCAAAAUUAAUCAAAAGUAUAUUUGAGAGGCCAUUUUGAACCUACCCUUAAAUAUAAGAGAUGUUUUUUAUUUCAUCUCACAUUUUAUGUAGUUUUUUAUUCAAAUUUUGUCAAAAUAACUUUGCGAAAGAUGAGACAAAGUUACAUGAUUUUUGUAAAACAAAAUAAAAAAUAGUAACUUUUGGAUAAUCAACACAAAGUUGGAUGACCACCCAUGAAAUUUACUCAAACUAGUUACUCAAUUAGGUGAGAGUCAAUUCUUAAAAAAAAAAUUGGAUAAAGGGGAAAAAAAAUUUCAGUUUUUUUUUUGGGGGGAUAAAAAGGACAAUUUUUAUUUAGUUUUUUUUUAAAAAAAAAUAUUUUCAUUUCAACAAUUAAAAAAGUUGUCUCAACAACUAUACAAAUUAUCUCAAUAACCAUCAAAGUUAUUGGAUAAUUUAGAUAGUUGUUGAGACAACUAAGACAGUUGUCGAACAACUGUCCUAAUUAUUUAAGUGACUUUAUUUUUUUAACUUAAUAAUAUUGUGAAUACACUUAUCUCUUUUUUUUUUUUAAUUAAAAACUUGUGUGAGUUUUCAACUCAUUUUUCUCUCUCGGUACCCUAUAGAUCGAGGGUUAAUCAAUCACAACUAAGACAGUGUGAUUUACCUCAAAUAAUUACUCUUUCAGCAACAUCAAAGAGAUAUCUGAUAGGUGUAUUGAGUGAGAAAUUUUGAGAUCAAUUUUUCCCUUUUCUUUGAUAAAAGAGUUUAAAGAACAUAUUUUCUAAAUAUGUUACUUUGUUAGCAGUUUCUUUUCACGCUCUUCAUUACCCAGUUUUUUGAGAUCAAUUUCUCUCUUCUGAAUGAUUUGAAUUUCCAAGUCAACAAAAUAAAAUUAUUUUAGGUGAAUUUUAAUGUGACAUGGCAUCGGUUAGUUAAAAAGUAGCCAACCUCUCUUUCUCUAUGGCUCUCGGCGUACAUUAAGGUAACCUGCGCCAUUCAAGGAUAACCGUGGCAAAAGAAAAGGGGGCGACCUUGCAAGGAAACAUUGGUGACGGUAGGAAGCUCGGUUAGUGCUCGUGUGAUAGCUGAACCUUAUAAAAAGGAAAUGAAUAGCUGGUAGUGACACCCACUGGGCAUCCAUUUCAACCUAAUUCUCUGAAAUUUGGGACAUCUACUCAGGUGCAUAAGAAAUUGAAUCUCAACGUUGUUUGUGUUGUCUGUGCAACCUAGCCUGUGGUGGAGUGACAUAUCUGCUCCUGUUGCUCUUUCUACGCAACCUAGUCUGCAAUCAGUUGGAGUUGGACCACGUGGAAGUGGUACCAAGAUGAAUAAUAUGAUGUUGACAUCGGAGGAUGCUGAAUAGAAAGAUGAUCAAAGUGCCAAAGAUGGAUGAGAAAUCGACAAUACCGACGCGGGCAAAUCUCUUUAUUGGGAAUCGUUCUGCUGAAAAUGGUAUGUUGCUAUCAUAUGUUCCCCCAGAAAUUGUUGGUGGUAAUAUAGUGGUCACAUUAGACUAGGAAGAAUGUAUUAGUGAGACAACAAAGUGGAAGUGUGCAUUGAACAACAAAGUGGAAGUGUGCAUUGAACAACAAAGUGUGCAUUGAACAACAAAGUGGAAGUGUGCAUUGAACAACAUAAGUGUGCAUUGAUUGCAUAUGUAGUAAGGUGUCGUUUAACCAGUGUGCAUUGAACAACAAAGUGGAAGUGUGCAUUGAUUGCAUAUGUAGUAAGGUGUCGUUUGGUUAAAAAUGUAGUUAUACUGGGAUUAGUUAUGUUGGGAUAAGUUAUGAUGGAAUAAGUUAUAAUGGGAUUAGUUAUGCUGGGAUUAUUUUUUGUUGAGUGUUUGAUUUGUUGUUUUCAAAUUAAUAUGCAUGGUAUAAUUUCUAAGAAUAAAAUAUUUGAUUACCAAAAUACUCUAUCUUAUUUAACUUUUUUUUGUUUAUAUAUAUUUAUUUUCAAACUUUAAAUAUUUAUUCUUAAAAAUAAAACUUUCAUUUUAUUUUGCUUAAUUUUUUUGUGUGUGUAUUUUAAAAAUAAAACUUUCAUCUUAUUUAACUUUAAUUUUUUUGCAUGUGCCUUUCCAUGAUUAUACCGUGUGCGUUUUUAAAAAAAAGAACUUACUACAUCUUAUUUAGUUUGAAUGAAAAACUUCCAACUUAAGUUUGUUAAAGUAAAAGAAGAUUUGUUGUUUAUGUCACUUCAUUUAAACACAUAUUACUCAUAUAUUAUAGAAUAUUAAAAUUCAUUUUAAUUGAUAUACACAAUAUCAAUUUUCAAGUUAUAAAAAACUAUUUAAUUUAAAAUAUGUAAUUGAACAAUAGAGUCGAUUGUGAAACGAUAAUGUGUAUUAAAACUAGGCAAUGCCUUUGUAGUUGUUAAAAUAUUUUAUAGAUUACUAGUGAAGGGUAAUUAUUAUUAUAAAAUAUACUUACUUUAGUUAAUCUUUUCAUUGUGUAGUAAGAACUUUUUGUGUUAUCAAUUCACAAAAAUAACACUUGGAAGGAAAAAGUUGAUGUUAAAUUUCAUUUUUCUAUGCUUAAAAAAUUAUAGUACCUACAUUUUGUUGGAUAUAUAAAAAAUUAUAGUACCUAGUUUUGAUCCUUAUUAUGUAUGAAUCUAACAUAUUUUAUUUUUUAAUUUGUUAAUUUUGCAUUUUGAUCUUUUAUAUAAGAAAAUAACGUAUACGUUUAUAAAAUUCACAAGUAAUGGAAUGAAAAAAAAUGCAAAGUUUAAUUAAUAAGAGGCUAAUUUUUCUUAGUCAUAUAUUUCCUUCGUUCCAAAAUAAAAUAUUUUAAUAUUUUUAAUUUGUCAUAAAUAACACGUUUUAGAAAAUCAAGUAGAUAUCAAUAAUCUUUUUUCAAUUUCAAAAGCAAUAAUUAAAGAUGAUGAAAAAGAUUGGAGAAAUGUGUUUGUAAUGGAUUUGGGAUAUUUUUAUCAUUUUAUAAUUUAUCCCGGGAUAAAUUAAGGUGGGAUAACUUAUACCACCAAAUAUGUGGUAUAACUUAUCCCGAGACUAUUAUUAAUCCCGGGAUAAGUUAUCCCAAGUAUUGUCAAACCAAACGAUUUAUUAAAAAGUUUAUUCCGGGACUAUUAUUUUAUCCCGGGAUAACUUGUCUUAGUACCUCAUAUCAAACGGCCCCUAAGAGAUACUCGAGAACAUUUAGUUGAAAGGCCACAUUGAAAAUUUAUUUUGAGAAAUAGACAUCUUUUUUUGUUUGACCUAAUUUUUUAGGUUUUUGUGGGAUAUGGGUUAAAGUGUAAAAAAAAAAAUCUUUUGGCACCUCUUAUGUAUUUGUUGAAUCUUUUGGAACCUCUUAUGUAUUUAUUAAAUACUUUCUCCGUUUAAAAAAGAAUGACCUACUUUGAUUUGACACAAAGUUUAAGAAAAUAGAGAAGACUUUUGAAUCUUGUGGCCUUAAUUUAAAGUUGUGUCAAAUGUACCAAAAUGCCCUUUAAUCUUGUAGUCCUAAACAUACUAUGUAGAAAAUUGAAAUUAAAGUAUUGCAAAAAAAAAGGGCCAUUCUUUUUUGAAACGGACUAAAAAAAAAGUAGGUCAUUCUCUUUUAAACAGAGGGAAUACAUUUUUAACCCCACUCUAUCCCACUCUAUCAUUAAAUACAAAAAAAAAUUCUCUCUCAUCUUCUCUCGUUACUCUCUCCCACUUCAUCUCCCCUUUCCACCAUUUUUCAAUUUCGAGCUUGUAUAAAUCAUCUCUAACUUCGAUCUUCAACUUCAGAUAAGUUAUAUUCAUCUUUUGAUUAAUUUGUGCCCUAUAUUAAUGAGUUUUUUUAUUUUAUUUUUUUCGAAUUCGUUGUGGCGGUUGAACUCGUUGGAGUUAAAAAAUUUUGAUUUUUUUUUUAAUAUGGGGCUUGAUUUUACUGAAAUUGGUUGUUUUUAGUUGAUAUUUACUUGAUUGUUGAUGGAUGAUUGGUGUAUAUCGAUUAUCCUUGGCGAUUGCAUGUUGAAAUUUCAUCACUAAUUUUGUCGAAAUGUGGCAAGAUAUGUGAUUUUUGUUCAAACUUUUCUCCAAUAUAAUGGUGUUGUAGAAGCACGUUCAUGUUUGGGAUUCCUAUUGGUUUGAAUCAUAUUCGUAUUUGAUAUUUGGACCCGAAAAAUUAUUUUAAAAAAAAAAAAAUGGGGUUUGAUUUUACUUAAAAUUUGUGUUUUUAAGUUGGUAUUUGGUUUGUCGUGCAUUAUUUUUGUUGGAUUUUAAUUUCCCUCGAUGAUUGCGUUGAGAUUUUUUUGCCAAUUUUUCUCUAUUUUCGUGCUAAAAAUUCUAGUUCAUUUCUAUUUUUGUUCAAUAGAAUGGUGAUUUAGAUGAAUGUUCUUAUGGGUGAUGGAGUUGUUUUGGAAGAAACUUCUUCUACAAAUAGGUUUUUUUGGUGUUGCAACUGUUGUCAUGUUAAUAGACUGUUAGGUCGAUUAGGUAUUGUAUUUGUUGAUAGAGUUGAGAAAUGUUAUUUUUUGUCCGUAGAUCAUAACAAAUGGCUAGAGGUAACAACCACAAGGCUGUAGAAGUUGAUAGAUCUGAGAAAAAAAAGAGUAGUCGAUGAAUCAGAGAAUAGAAAUUACAGCGAGGAAGCUAUUGAAGCUUCGGUUCGAGAUGAGCCGGAGGAAAUAAAAAUUGAGGCUAGGAUAGAUGAGGAAGCAUUGAUCUUGCCCACUGUGCAAGGUUUAUUUCGACUGAGAGAUACGACCUCGCUAUAGUCCUGGAUGAUGUCGGAUCAUUUCCGGCUAAGAUAUCCGUUAUGUCCCAUUUAAAAAUGUUUUAUGAAUUCAAACAAGUCAUGGUUGAUCAACGUCUGAAGUCUAGGUUUAAGAAUUCCUGGUUUGGUGGUUUACGGGACUUUCCAGAACAUAGAAAGUUCAACGGACAUCUUGUCCACUAUACACUUCUUCGCCGAGUUAAACAGGACAACAAACUGCAUGAAAUAUGGUUCGGCAUCUAUGACAGUCCUGAAGGAGUUUCCGCUAAUCACGACUUUAAAUUGUGGGCGUUAUCCCCAUGAUUCAAAAUAUGUCAAAGCGAUGGAAAAGGGUGAAGCUUUUUUGAAAAAGAUUGCGAAAAAAAGAGGAGUGUAAAUGCAAAAAAAUUGUUGAAGCUUAUUAGAGGUGAGAGGCUGGACAAGGAGGACAAGUUCAAAUGCUACUUGGUUUGGUUCGUGCACUGCAUAUUGUUUGCACACGACUUGUCAAAAAUCGUGGACAUAGACACCAUCAAGAUGGUGGAUAACUUGGGCUUCUUUGAGAGAUACCCUUGGGGUAAGAAGUCAUUUACCUUGACUCUAGACUAUCUAAAGAGCGGACAGACUUCAGCAGGCAGAAGAAGACAUUUGUGACAAAGGGAAUUUCAUCAUACGCGCUCUACAGAUUUCCCUGGGCAUUUAUGGUAUUUGAUUAUAAACCAUUGAAGUAUUUUAUUAUAUACUGUAAUUCAUCUAUGGUAUGUAUACUAUACUGACUCUCAGUUAUAUGUUUUUGUUUUUACUUUUGAUCACAAAUUUGGAUAUACGAAGCCUUUCCUGCGUUUGGCAGGGAAAAUGGUAAAUCAACUGAAGACUCACUGCCCAUUCCCCG
This 7237-nucleotide long non-coding RNA is filed under the name Capsicum annuum. RNAcentral describes it as "long non-coding RNA (CANN_LNC002686)". The record is from RNAcentral. Lineage: Eukaryota; Viridiplantae; Streptophyta; Magnoliopsida; Solanales; Solanaceae.